RNAcentral lists this ribosomal RNA (253 nucleotides) under uncultured bacterium. RNAcentral describes it as "partial 16S ribosomal RNA". It matches the Rfam family "Bacterial small subunit ribosomal RNA", at positions 524 to 776 of the family's 1533-position model. The record is from RNAcentral.
UACGGAGGGUGCAAGCGUUACUCGGAAUUACUGGGCGUAAAGCGUGCGUAGGCGGUUUGUUAAGUCUGUCGUGAAAGCCCCGGGCUCAACCUGGGAAUGGCGAUGGAAACUGGCGAGCUAGAGUACGGUAGAGGAGAGUGGAAUUCCCGGUGUAGCAGUGAAAUGCGUAGAGAUCGGGAGGAACAUCAGUUGCGAAGGCGGCUCUCUGGACCAGUACUGACGCUGAGGCACGAAAGCGUGGGGAGCAAACAGG